GGGGAAUCUUGCGCAAUGGGCGAAAGCCUGACGCAGCAACGCCGCGUGAGCGAAGACGGCCUUCGGGUUGUAAAGCUCUGUCAGGAGGGACGAAGCCACUCGGGUGAAUAGCCCAGAGGGUGACGGUACCUCCAGAGGAAGCCCCGGCUAACUACGUGCCAGCAGCCGCGGUAAUACGUAGGGGGCGAGCGUUGUCCGGAAUCAUUGGGCGUAAAGCGCGUGUAGGCGGCUUGGCAAGUCCGAUGUGAAAGCUCGAGGCUCAACCUCGAGUCUGCAUUGGAAACUGCCUUGCUAGAGUCCGGAAGAGGGGACUGGAAUUCCUGGUGUAGCGGUGAAAUGCGCAGAUAUCAGGAAGAACACCGGUGGCGAAGGCGGGUCCCUGGGACGGUACUGACGCUGAGACGCGAAAGCGUGGGGAGCAAAC
This 424-nucleotide ribosomal RNA is filed under the name uncultured bacterium. Its description in RNAcentral is "bacterial SSU rRNA". It matches the Rfam family "Bacterial small subunit ribosomal RNA", at positions 356 to 773 of the family's 1533-position model. The record is from RNAcentral.